Long non-coding RNA from Oreochromis niloticus (Nile tilapia), 5874 nucleotides. NCBI's taxonomy places the organism in Eukaryota, Metazoa, Chordata, Actinopteri, Cichliformes, Cichlidae. The record is from Ensembl.
AUGAAAGGAUUUCAUGCCUCCUCCUUGGCUUUACUCCUCUCCUGUCUGCUCUGUCUAGCUCGGAGGAAGGUACUGCACUGUGCCAAUGAGCUACUGACACACAAGUAUGACGUGCCUCCCUACUUCAAGACAGAGCCAGUGCGUAGCCAGCUCCAUCUGGAACGUAACAGGCUGGUGCUGACCUGCAUGGCGGAGGGAAGCUGGCCACUAGAGUUUAAAUGGAUCCACAAUAGCACAGAAUUAACACGCUUUUCACUGGAGUACAGGUACCUAAUCCCUUCACUGGACCGCUCCCAUGCUGGCUUUUACCGCUGCAUUGUGAGAAAUCGGGUGGGAGCCCUUCUGCAGAGGCGCACAGAAGUACAAGUGGCCUUUAUGGGCAGUUUUGAGGAAGGCGAACGCACCCAGUCAGUCUCUCAGGGAGAGGGUGCUGUGAUUCCAGCGCCACGCAUCCGCAGCUUCCCUCAGCCACAAGUCACCUGGUUCAGAGAUGGGCGCAAGAUUCCACCCAGCAGCCGCAUUGCCAUUACUUUGGACAACACGCUGGUUAUCUUGUCUACUGUGGCACCGGAUGCCGGACGCUACUAUGUGCAAGCUGUAAAUGACAAGAAUGGAGAGAACAAGACCAGCCAGCCCAUCACCUUGUCAGUAGAGAAUGUUGGCGGUCCAGCAGAUCCCAUUGCCCCCACCAUUAUCAUCCCUCCCAGGAACACCAGUGUGGUCACAGGCACAUCAGAGGUCACGAUGGAGUGUGUGGCCAAUGCCAGACCUCUUAUCAAGCUGAGUAUCUCAUGGCGUAAGAACGGCGUGUUGGUGAACAGCGGUUUGAGUGACUUCAACCGCAGACUGACCAUCCUGAGUCCUGUGGUGAGCGACGCCGGCUACUACGAGUGUGAGGCCAUUCUCCGCAGCAGCAGCGUGCCUUCAGUCAGUGCUGGGGCUUAUCUGCAUCCACCACAGUUUAUAAAGGAACCGGAGAAACACAUCACAGCUGAGAUGGAGAAGGUGGUUGACAUUCCCUGUCAGGCACGGGGAGUGCCCCAGCCAGACAUUGUGUGGUACAAGGAUGCUUUGCCUAUCGACCCAGUGAGGACACCCAGGUACAGGGUGUUGGUGGGCGGCAGCCUCCAGGUCAACGGCCUACUGCCUGAUGACACCGGCAUGUUCCAGUGCUUUGCCCGAAAUUCAGCCGGAGAAGUUCAGACCAACACUUACCUGGCUGUUACAAGCAUUGCCCCGAAUAUCACAGCCGGACCCUCUGAUAGCACUGUGAUCGACGGGAUGUCAGUCAUUCUGCACUGUGAGACCUCUGGAGCUCCAAGGCCAGCUAUCACCUGGCAAAAAGGUGAGCGCGUGUUAGCCAGCGGUUCAGUCCAGCUGCCCCGGUUCACCCUGCUUGAAUCGGGCAGCUUGCUCAUCUCGCCUUCACACAUCUCUGAUGCCGGGACCUACACUUGCAUGGCAAGCAACUCCAGGGGCAUUGACGAGGCAUCUGCUGACCUUGUUGUUUGGGCUCGCACUCGGAUUACCACCCCCCCACAGGACCAGAGCGUUAUCAAAGGAACUAAAGCCAUUAUGAACUGUGGAGUCACACACGACCCAAGUGUGACAGUCAGGCAUGUCUGGGAAAAAGAGGGCUCAGUCAUAAACGUUCAGUCCAUCCCCCGCAUGCGGCUAGAUGCAGAUGGUACGCUUCACAUCUCCCAAACCUGGUCAGGUGACAUAGGCACCUACACAUGCCGAGUGACCUCUGUUGGAGGCAACGACUCCCGCAGCGCGCACCUCCGUGUCAGACAGUUGCCCCAUGCCCCAGAGAACCCUACGGCCGUGCUGAGCAAAUCUGAAAAAAGAGCCAUCGACCUGGCUUGGGCCAAGCCUUUUGAUGGCAACAGUCCCCUCAUACGCUAUAUCCUGGAGGUUUCUGAGAACAAUGCUCCCUGGGCCAUCCUGCUGGCCAAUAUUGAACCUGAGUCCACAGCAGUGACGGUCAACGGCUUGAUCCCAGCUCGCUCCUAUCAGUUCCGCCUCUGUGCUGUUAAUGAUGUGGGGAAGGGACAGUUUAGCAAGGAGACAGACCGGGUCUCUCUCCCAGAGGAGCCCCCCAGUGCUCCUCCUCAAAAUGUCAUUGCUAGUGGUCGAACCAACCAAUCUAUCAUGAUCCAGUGGCAGCCUCCGCCGGAAAGCCACCAGAACGGCAUCCUCAGAGGCUACAUCGUUCGGUACCGUCUCACUGGGCUGCCUGUGGACAACCAAAUCAAGAACAUUUCCAGCCCGGAUGUGACCACGCUGCUGCUGGAAGACCUCAUCAUCUGGACCAAUUAUGAGAUUGAGGUGGCUGCCUAUAAUGGGGCAGGUUUGGGCACUUUCAGCCAUAAGGUUACUGAGUGGACCCUGCAAGGAGUGCCCACCAUAGCUCCAGGCAACGUGCAGGCCGAGGCGGUCAACUCAACAACUAUCCGUUUUACGUGGACAGCCCCUAACCCCCAGUUCAUCAACGGCAUUAACCAGGGCUACAAGUUGCUGGCCUGGGAACCUGGCAAGGAUGACGAAGUUGCCAUGGUAACAGUACGACCGAACUUCCAGGACAGCGUCCAUGUGGGAUAUGUGACAGGUCUGAAGAAGUUCACUGAGUAUUACACCUCUGUGCUGUGCUUCACGACACCCGGAGACGGCCCCCGCAGCCCGCCUAAAGCAUUGAGGACGCAUGAGGACACCCCCGGUGCAGUGGGUCAUCUGAGUUUCACCGAGAUUUUGGACACCUCACUCAAAGUCAGCUGGAGUGAGCCCAGCGAGAAGAAUGGAGUUCUCACAGGUUACCGCAUUUCUUGGGAGGAGUACAACCGAACAAACACCAGAGUCACCCACUACCUGCCCAAUGUCACCUUAGAGUACAGGGUCACUGGGCUCACUGCUCUCACCACCUACACUAUUGAAGUGGCAGGAAUGACCUCCAAGGGCCAGGGCAUGCUGUCCUCCUCCACCAUUUCCUCCGGUGUCCCACCAGAGCUUCCUGGCCCUCCUACCAACAUGGCAAUUUCCAAUAUUGGCCCACGCUCCAUCAAUCUGCAGUUCAAACCUGGCUAUGAUGGCAAAACUUCUAUUUCCCGCUGGCUAGUGGAGGCCCAGGUGGGUGCGGUAGGAGAAAAUGAGGAUUGGUUGAUGGUCCACCAGGUGUUCAACGAACCUGAGGCUCGCUCCUUAGAGGUGCCAGGUCUCAACCCAUAUACCUUUUACAGGUUUCGCAUGCGUCAGGUGAACAUAGUGGGUACCAGUCCUCCCAGCCAGCCCUCCAGAAAAAUUCAGACCCUACCAGCUCCUCCCGACAUGGCCCCUGCCAACGUCACCCUGCGCACCGCUAGCGAAACAAGCCUCUGGUUACGAUGGAUGCCGGACAGGAAUGGGCUCAUUCUGGGCUACAAGGUCUAUUUCUGCUUUUUAGAUUUGGCAUCUGGAAAAAACUUGAAAAAAGACUCGGACAGUCCAGUCCACUUCUGGACAGUAGAGGGAAAUGCCACUCACAGUGUCCAGCUGACUGGUCUGGGGAAAUAUGUGCUCUAUGAGAUCCAAGUUCUGGCAUUCACACGGAUUGGAGAUGGACGGCCGAGCUCUCCACCUAUUCUUGAAAGGACCUUGGAUGAUGUCCCAGGACCUCCAGUGGGUAUCCUGUUCCCUGAAGUCCGAACCACCUCAGUCCGCCUUAUUUGGCAGUCCCCUGCCCAGCCGAAUGGCAUUAUACUUGCCUACCAGAUCACGUACCACCUCAACUCCACCAAUAGCAACACAGCCACAGUGGAUGUGCUGAACCCCAGCGCCCGCCAGUACACGGUGACUAACCUCAAGCCAGAAACUGUCUAUGUGUUUCGCAUCACGGCACAGACAAGGAAAGGCUGGGGUGAGGCGGCCGAGGCACUCGUGGUUACCACGGAGAAAAGAGCUCGUCCUCAGCCUACCAGCCGCCCCCUGGUUCCUCAAAAACACGUUCAGGCUCGCCAGGUGUUACUUUCAUGGGAGCCUGGUAGUGACGGCCUGUCCCCCGUGCGUUACUAUACGGUCCAGCUAAGAGAGCUUCCUGAAAGCAACUGGACAGUCCACUCAGCAUCUGUCAGCCACGAGGCCACAACCUACAUAGUAUCCAGGCUGAAACCCUUCACAUCUUACCAGUUCAGAAUAAAAGCCACCAAUGACAUAGGGGACAGCGAGUACAGUCAGGAAAGUGAAGCAAUCACAACUCUACAGGAUGUGCCUGACGAAGCACCCUCGAUUCUCUCUGUCACGCCACACACAACAACGUCAGUGCUGAUCCGCUGGCAGGUAAGAACAAACAAAAUAACUUUAUAUAUAUAUUUUACUGUUUUCAAACUCCAUGAUCUAUUCGAGUGUGGGGAAGUGGCUUCUAAGAGACUAAGUAAACACAAGCGUUAUGAGAUACGCAUGAGUGUGUACAACGCCGUGGGUGAGGGGCCAACCAGCCCUCCACAGGAGGUGUUUGUUGGAGAAGCAGUGCCGACGGCCCCACCCCAGAAUGUGGCUAUUCAGUCCGCAACAGCCACCCAGCUGGAUGUGACGUGGGACCCUCCACCUGUGGAUGCGCAGAAUGGAGACAUCCAGGGAUACAAGAUUUACUUUUGGGAAUUCCAGCGUAAGAACGAGACUGAGCGGAUGCGGACUCUGUUUAUGCCUGAAGGAGGGGUGAAGCUGAAGAACUUGACUGGUUACACCACCUAUAUGAUCAGUGUGGCUCCAUUCAACGCUGCUGGGGACGGACCCCGAAGCCCACCAACGAGGGGACGCACUCAGCAAGCAGCUCCCAGUGCUCCCAGCUUCAUUCACUUCAGUGAACUGACCACCACCUCUGUCAAUGUGUCCUGGGGCGAGCCCACCUUCCCUAAUGGCAUCAUUGAGGGCUACCGUCUGGUCUAUGAACCCUCCACACCUGUAGAUGGCGUCAGUAAGACAGUGACGGUGGAUGUGAAGGGGACCGGCCCUCUCUGGUUGAAGAUCAGAGACCUGGCAGAUGGCGUCACGUACAACUUCCGCAUCCGGGCCAAGACCUUCAUCUACGGGCCUGAGGUGGAAGCAAAUAUCACCACGGGACCAGGGGAAGGUAGUGCCCCAGGGCCCCCUGGAGAGCCAUUUAUUACGCGCUACAGUUCGGGCCUCACCAUUCACUGGACCCCUGGAGACCCAGGACGUUCUCCCAUAACACGCUAUGUAAUUGAGGCCAGACCCUCAGAUGAGGGUUUGUGGGAUAUCUUAAUCAAGGACAUCUCCAAGGAUGCAACAUCGCACACAUUCAACAUGGACAUCCUGAAACAAGGUGUCAGUUAUGACUUUCGGGUCAUUGGAGUGAACGACUAUGGCUAUGGCUCUCCGAGUCUACCUUCUCCCUCCAUAUCUGCCCAAAAAGUGGCUCCUUUCUAUGAGGAAUGGUGGUUCCUGGUCGUGGUGGCUCUAGUGGGACUCAUCUUCAUUCUGCUGCUAGUUUUCAUCCUCAUUAUCAGAGGACAGAGCAAGAAGUAUGCAAAAAAGUCUGAAUCAGGUGACCUGGACGAAGGACGUUUCCCAGCUCUGGAACUUAACAAUCGACGGCUGUCUGUAAAAAACUCUUUCUGCAGGAAGAACGGCGUCUACACCAGGUCUCCUCCCAGGCCCAGCCCAGGCAGUCUUCACUACUCGGACGAGGACGUCAGCACCAAGUACAACGACCUGAUCCCUGCAGAGAGCAGCAGCCUGACUGAAAAACCCUCGGAAAUCUCAGACUCACAGCCGGAUCACUGCGCCCCACCACCCCAGCACAGCACCUUGUACAGGCCCCCCAGCAGUCUAGCCCCUGGCUCACGGGCCCCUAUUGCUGGCUUUUCCUCUUUUGUGUGA